AAAUUUUUCUUUUAACUUAUUUUCAAACAAAAAUAAAAAAUUAUAGUCAUUUUUUUCGGAGAGACAAAAUUUGCUGAAGACGUCAUACCAAUAAAAAAAAAACCUUUAAACGGCACUAAAAAUAUUUGAAUCCUCAAUACCUUCCCAAAAUAGCAUUUUCAAAUAGCUCCCCAAAAAUGAGUCGUGUUUCAAGAAAUUAAACCAAUAGCACAAAAUGACAUUUUUUACCCAUAGAAACAUCUAUGAAAAUUUUCAGCCAAAUUAAAAAUGGUCGGCUCAAUUGGUUGCCCGUUUUUUUGUAGAAUUGCCCUUUACAAAAAAUUACAGUCACCUAUCAGUGAAAGUAAAGUAUGCGUUCAUCAUUUUUACGAUAGUAAAUUAAUCUGUAUCUACUAUUAGGGGUUAUAUACUAUUAUGUUUGUGAGAAAUAAUCGAAAUUUUUUAUUUCUCUUAUUUGAAAGGAUACGGAAUUUCAGAAAUUGCAAUUAAAAAUCGGGUAAUCGCUCCAUUAUUCAUCUCAACAGCUUGGUGCACCUAUAUUCAUCUUAUUUCUCUCAUUUGUCCAAUUUUACGUCAAAUUUCUACAAAUUUUUGAAAGUAAAUCUAUUUGCUUCUCGAUUUUCUCAAGUGGCUGAAAGUUUUACGUUGAAAAUAUGGUGAAGUUUGACGAUAAAUUGAUCAAAAUGGCGUGAUGAGAUAAAUAUAGGUACUGAGAUGAAUAUAGGAGCGGUUACCCUUUUUGAUGUUUUAGACUAGAUUAUCUUCAAUUUAAAAAUCAGAAAGGUCUGAGCUGUUGAACCGAUUUGGCAGCUUUUGCAAGCGCGUGAUCUACUACUGCUCGCGACACGCAAGUCACACUUUACGAGAGAUUAUCUCGAAACUAUUUUGUUUCAACAAGUGUGGUUGUGGUGACACAGUUUUUGGAGAACCGUUAACCCGAUCAGCCUGAAUGUUGGCAGGUUCGUUCAUAACAAUAAUAGUCUGCUCGGGAACGAAAAAACUUGAACUUCAAGCAACCAAAAUUUUUGACGUUUUACCUGAAACUUAAAAAACGAUCACCAUUUUUGUUAAACAAAGGUAAUCUUGCAAAAUCUUUCGUUCAGGUAGAGCGUAUAGGAUUUUUUUGUGUUUCUGAUAUAUAAUUCUUUCUGUAUCAUGAAUGUCGGAAAAACUAUAUUUUCCUACAUGAAUUCCAGUGAGUCCACUCAUUAAUAUUUUCUUUUGAAAACAAAAGUUGGUAAAGUCUCAUGAUAUGUUCAAAUACUAAUUAACUUUUUUAAAACAUAACGUGUACCUACUCUAAAAAAACAAAAAAAUACUUUUGAUCUCUUAAGAGCUUUAAAUUCAAAAGCCUUGUUCAGGCGUUUUUAUUGAAAACAACUAAAAGUGCAUCAGUCCUAGAACAUUGCAGAGGCUCAAACAAGAUGAAUAAAUGCAGGGUUUUUAAACCUGGUUCGAACUAGUUUCAGUGUUUUUCAUGAUACAUAUGGAUUGAUCUCAGCGUUUCUUGAUUUCAAUGGAUUUACUUUUGAUGAUAGAGAAAAAAUCAUCCUGGUUCGAACCACGCUGAAGUUGAUUCCCGAUCCCUACUGAUCAAAUCGAGCAAACAAUUUCUUACUCCUGUAAAAAUGAAAUAUUCUAUCAAUGACUCAACAAAAUACUGCAUAGGGGUCGUUCCUAAACCACGUGGUCAUGUUUUGAUCACUUUCCAUACCCCCCGUACCCCCCGUGGUCUUUCGUGGUCUUUUGGCCAUUCCCUCCCCCCUUGCGACUUUAACCACGUGGUCUUUUCAUUUGUAAAGUGCCAAAAAAUCCCAUAAAUUUUUCCAUUUUUAUUAUUAAACUUUCAGUACAUUCUUUAUUUCUAAAACACAAGAGCUUCAUUCUUCACUUGGUGGCAACAAUAAAUUAUAAGUCAGGAAAAGAGACCACGUGGUCUUAUCGUUAACACCCCGUGCGUGGUCUUUUGACAAACCCCCCCAUCCCCCUCUUUAUGACCACGUGGUUUAGGAACGGCCCUAUAGCAUACUGAUUGAAUAAUAAGUUUGAUAAAAAUAAAUUCUUUAUCGAAAAUAAUUAGACUAUUUGACUGAAAUAUAAAAAAUGCGUACCACGAGCAUCGGUAGUUCGAAGUGGGGCAUAGCCGCAAGGCUACAGAGUCCGCUUCGUUAAGCGGAUGCUUUAUGUUAAUUACGAGCGGGAUCUGUAUGUUGCCGCAGCCAACAGGAAGCUGAGACCUAUAUCUGGUGUGCUUCAAGCUUCCCAAUGCCGAACUUAAGUGAAACAAACCAGCACAAGGGCACUCGAAAAAAAAAUAACAGAAAAAAAACUCAAAAGUUGCUGUAAUUGUACAUAGUUUAUGUUUUUAAUUGUGAAUACAUCAAUUUUACAUUAAAUAUCAUUGUUCAGAAUAAUAAAAAACCCUGUGUUUGUCAUUUUCAUUCAUUGUUAUGUAUCUUAACAGCAAUUUUUUAGGCAUUUUUCAUAAAUUUAGAAGUCACUGACAAUGUCUUCCAUGGUAAAAUUAUUGUCGAUGGUAGACAAAAGACAUUGAGACUACUGCUGCUGCUGCUGGGACUAUUGCGACUGUUGCUGCGACUGGUACCGACGAUGAAUUGUUGCCUCUAAGCAGCUCCUUGGAAACUCUUGGAACAACAUUACACCAUGGUUCAACGAUCAACUGGAAAGUUCAGAAAGCUCCAAACGGAUUGGUAGACUUGUCUCUGCGGGAAUGCUAAGAUACGAACGAUUCAGCGAUUGCGACAUCGAUCGGGCAAACAUGUCAACACAAUUACCAGGAAAUGAUUCCAGUAAAUAAACAAAAAAAAAAAUCUUAAUUCAAUUCAAUUCAAUCUGUUUACGAUAUUUUAGAUGUUAAAAUGAUUAAAAUAAACAAAAAGAGUAAAAACUAAA
Molecule: long non-coding RNA, 2913 nt
Organism: Wyeomyia smithii (pitcher-plant mosquito)
Lineage: Eukaryota; Metazoa; Arthropoda; Insecta; Diptera; Culicidae
Exons: 2
Source: RefSeq, a predicted model, not a curated record